CGUAGGGUGCAAGCGUUGUCCGGAAUUAUUGGGCGUAAAGAGCUCGUAGGCGGUCUGUCGCGUCGGCUGUGAAAACUCGGGGGCUCAACCCCGAGCCUGCAGUCGAUACGGGCAGACUAGAGUGCGGUAGGGGAGACUGGAAUUCCUGGUGUAGCGGUGAAAUGCGCAGAUAUCAGGAGGAACACCGGUGGCGAAGGCGGGUCUCUGGGCCGUAACUGACGCUGAGGAGCGAAAGCGUGGGGAGCAAACAGGAUUAGAUACCCUGGUAGUCCACGCCGUAAACGGUGGGUGCUAGGUGUAGGCGGUAUUCCACGCCGUCUGUGCCGCAGCUAACGCAUUAAGCACCCCGCCUGGGGAGUACGGCCGCAAGGCUA
This 374-nucleotide ribosomal RNA is filed under the name uncultured organism. RNAcentral describes it as "bacterial SSU rRNA". It matches the Rfam family "Bacterial small subunit ribosomal RNA", at positions 526 to 896 of the family's 1533-position model. The record is from RNAcentral.